This 254-nucleotide unclassified non-coding RNA is filed under the name Hevea brasiliensis (rubber tree). Lineage: Eukaryota; Viridiplantae; Streptophyta; Magnoliopsida; Malpighiales; Euphorbiaceae. The record is from RNAcentral.
GAAAUUUCCACGCACUACUUGUAUUUUAUCUGUAAUCUACAACUACAACAUCCCUAUAGCUGAAGAUAGCCAUUGUUUAGCAGAGUCCUCUUCCAACGAUCCUAAGCAAAAAUUGCAUACAUAUAUACAAAAGAAUGCAAAUCCAAACUAUAUUCCUUUUUAUCAAAGCGCAAGCUUCAAGUCUUGUACUCAGUUAAGGCAUCAUCUACCGAGAAGAUCUUCAGCUCUGAAACUCCAUAUCAUGGAAGGGUGGG